AGUGAACGCUGGCGGUAGGCCUAACACAUGCAAGUCGAACGGCAGCACAGUAAGAGCUUGCUCUUACGGGUGGCGAGUGGCGGACGGGUGAGGAAUACAUCGGAAUCUACUUUUUCGUGGGGGACAACGUAGGGAAACUUACGCUAAUACCGCAUACGACCUACGGGAGAAAGCAGGGGAUCUUCGGACCUUGCGCGAUUGAAUGAGCCGAUGUCGGAUUAGCUAGUUGGCGGGGUAAAGGCCCACCAGGGCGACGAACCGUAGCUGGUCUGAGAGGAUGGUCAGCCACCCUGGACCUGGGCCCCGGUCCAGCCCCCUACGGGGGGCGGCGGUGGGGAUUUUUCGACAAUGGGCGCAAGCCUGCUCCAGCCAUACCGCGUGGGUGAAGAAGGCCUUCGGGUUGUAAAGCCCUUUUGUUGGGAAAGAAAAGCAUCAGGUUAAUACCCCGCUGUUCUGACGGUACCCAAAGAAUAAGCACCGGCUACCUUCGU
This 491-nucleotide ribosomal RNA is filed under the name uncultured bacterium. RNAcentral's name for it is "partial 16S ribosomal RNA". It matches the Rfam family "Bacterial small subunit ribosomal RNA", at positions 29 to 506 of the family's 1533-position model. The record is from RNAcentral.